GCCCGCGUAGCUCAAAUGGAGAGAGCGCCUGUUUACGAAGCAGGAGGCUGCUGGUUCGAGUCCAGCCGCGGGCG
Molecule: transfer RNA, 74 nt
Filed under: Mycolicibacterium setense
Lineage: Bacteria; Bacillati; Actinomycetota; Actinomycetes; Mycobacteriales; Mycobacteriaceae
Description: tRNA-Arg
Rfam family: tRNA
About the family: Transfer RNA (tRNA) molecules are approximately 80 nucleotides in length. Their secondary structure includes four short double-helical elements and three loops (D, anti-codon, and T loops). Further hydrogen bonds mediate the characteristic L-shaped molecular structure. tRNAs have two regions of fundamental functional importance: the anti-codon, which is responsible for specific mRNA codon recognition, and the 3' end, to which the tRNAs corresponding amino acid is attached (by aminoacyl-tRNA synthetases). tRNAs cope with the degeneracy of the genetic code in two manners: having more than one tRNA (with a specific anti-codon) for a particular amino acid; and 'wobble' base-pairing, i.e. permitting non-standard base-pairing at the 3rd anti-codon position.
Source: RNAcentral